RNAcentral lists this ribosomal RNA (367 nucleotides) under uncultured bacterium. RNAcentral's name for it is "partial 16S ribosomal RNA". It matches the Rfam family "Bacterial small subunit ribosomal RNA", at positions 338 to 702 of the family's 1533-position model. The record is from RNAcentral.
CCUACGGGAGGCAGCAGUGAGGAAUAUUGGUCAAUGGACGGAAGUCUGAACCAGCCAUGCCGCGUGCAGGAAGACGGCUCUAUGAGUUGUAAACUGCUUUUGUACAAGGGUAAACCUGAAUACGUGUAUUCAGCUGAAAGUACUGUACGAAUAAGGAUCGGCUAACUCCGUGCCAGCAGCCGCGGUAAUACGGAGGAUCCAAGCGUUAUCCGGAUGUAUUGGGUUUAAAGGGUGCGUAGGCGGAUUGAUAAGUUAGAGGUGAAAUGUCCGAGCUUAACUCGGGAACUGCCGCUCAGAAGGUUGUUCUUGAGAGUAGCUGCGGUAGGCGGAAUGUCUGGUGUAGCGGUGCAAUGCUUAGAGAUCAUCC